Molecule: ribosomal RNA, 254 nt
Filed under: uncultured bacterium
Lineage: Bacteria
Description: partial 16S ribosomal RNA
Rfam family: Bacterial small subunit ribosomal RNA
Source: RNAcentral
GACAGAGGAUGCAAGCGUUAUCCGGAAUGAUUGGGCGUAAGCGUGCGCGAUGGACGGUUUGUAAGUCUGUCGAUCGGAAUCCCGGCUCAACCUGGGAAUUGCGAUGGAGACUGUAAGGCUAGAAUCUGGCAGAGGGGGGUAGAAUUCCACGUGUAGCAGUGAAAUGCGUAGAGAUGUGGAGGAACACCGAUGGCGAAGGCAGCCCCCUGGGUCAAGAUUGACGCUCAUGCACGAAAGCGUGGGGAGCAAACAGG